Molecule: ribosomal RNA, 253 nt
Filed under: uncultured bacterium
Lineage: Bacteria
Description: partial 16S ribosomal RNA
Rfam family: Bacterial small subunit ribosomal RNA
Source: RNAcentral
UACGUAGGGACCGAGCGUUGUCCGGAUUCAUUGGGCGUAAAGAGCUCGUAAGCGGCUAUUCAAGUCGAACGUGAAAACUCGGAGCUCAACUCCGAGCCUGCGUUCGAUACUGGAUGGCUAGAGUCUGGUAGGGGGAUCUGGAAUUCCUGGUGUAGCGGUGGAAUGCGCAGAUAUCAGGAGGAACACCGGUGGCGAAGGCGGGAUCCUGGGCCAGUACUGACGCUGAGGCGCGAAAGCCAGGGGAGCGAACGGG